Molecule: ribosomal RNA, 478 nt
Filed under: uncultured bacterium
Lineage: Bacteria
Description: partial 16S ribosomal RNA
Rfam family: Bacterial small subunit ribosomal RNA
Source: RNAcentral
GACGAACGCUGGCGGCGUGCUUAACACAUGCAAGUCGAGCGGUAAGGCCCUUCAGGGUACACGAGUGGCGAACGGGUGAGUAACACGUGGGUGAUCUGCCCUGCACUUCGGGAUAAGCCUGGGAAACUGGGUCUAAUACCGGAUAGGACCACUGCCUGCAUGGGUGGUGGUGGAAAGCUUUUGCGGUGUGGGAUGGGCCCGCGGCCUAUCAGCUUGUUGGUGGGGUGAUGGCCUACCAAGGCGACGACGGGUAACCGGCCUGAGAGGGUGACCGGCCACACUGGGACUGAGAUACGGCCCAGACUCCUACGGGAGGCAGCAGUGGGGAAUAUUGCACAAUGGGCGCAAGCCUGAUGCAGCGACGCCGCGUGAGGGAUGACGGCCUUCGGGUUGUAAACCUCUUUCAGCACCGACGAAGCGCAAGUGACGGUAGGUGCAGAAGAAGGACCGGCCAACUACGUGCCAGCCGCCGCAGUAA